GAUGAAGAACGUAGCGAAAUGCGAUAAGUAAUGUGAAUUGCAGAAUUCAGUGAAUCAUCGAAUCUUUGAACGCACAUUGCGCCCACUGGUAUUCCGGGGGGCAUGCCUGUUCGAGCGUCAUUAUAACCACUCAAGCUCUCGCUUGGUAUUGGGGUUCGCGGUUUCGCGGCCCCUAAAAUCAGUGGCGGUGCCUGUCGGCUCUACGCGUAGUAAUACUUCUCGCGAUUGAGUUCGAUAGGUCUACUUGCCAGUAACCCCCAAUUUUUACAGGUUGACCUCGGAUCAGGUAGGGAUACCCGCUGAACUUAAGCAUAUCAAUAAGCGGAGGA
This 329-nucleotide unclassified non-coding RNA is filed under the name soil metagenome. RNAcentral describes it as "partial contains 5.8S ribosomal RNA, internal transcribed spacer 2, and large subunit ribosomal RNA". The stretch from base 1 to 120 matches the Rfam family "5.8S ribosomal RNA", at positions 35 to 154 of the family's 154-position model. The record is from RNAcentral.